UACAAUGUCACAAAGUUCUUGAGGCUCUGCUGAAAUAUGAUUCAAUCUUUGUUACUGUGAACAGGCGCUUCUGCGAAGGACGCUUGAUGAUUACAAACGAGCCGGGUAUGAUCCCACCUCAAGUAGCUUGGAGAUUAGAUUGAUACAGAGCCAGGACGAUAUUCGAAACCCAAAUGUUGAACUGAAAGCUGAGAGAUACAGGUGAAGCAGGUGAAAAAAUGUAACAUAUUUUUAUCUUAAAAUAAGAAAACAUAGAUAUGUUUAUGAGGGUAAGGUAGUUGAGAUCUCCUUUUUGGGGAUACAACUGUACAAUUCUUUUAUACAAUAUAAUACAGUUCAGAGGAUCUCAUGACUGCUCUUCUACUUGGUUGGAGUAAUGUAAUAAUGCCUCUUUUAUUUCCAUGUGAAAAGAAAAAUAUUCUCUAUCGUUUUUCCUUAUACUAACGUUUCUUGUUAAUAAUUAUAAUAAUAUCCAGAAAUACCCUGAGAGUCUUGACAAGGCUGCCGAGCUUGCAGUUUCAACGUUGCAGGUAAUCUUCUAAACUUUAUAAAGUUACUAACUUCUCUUACAAUGUCACAAAGUUCUUGAGGCUCUGCUGAAAUAUGAUUCAAUCUUUGUUACUGUGAACAGGCGCUUCUGCGAAGGACGCUUGAUGAUUACAAACGAGCUGGGUAUGAUCCCACCUCAAGUAGCUUGGAGAUUAGAUUGAUACAGAGCCAGGACGAUAUUCGAAACCCAAAUGUUGAACUGAAAGCUGAGAGAUACAGGUGAAGCAGGUGAAAAAAUGUAACAUAUUUUUAUCUUAAAAUAAGAAAACAUAGAUAUGUUUAUGAGGGUAAG
Molecule: long non-coding RNA, 841 nt
Filed under: Brassica napus (rape)
Lineage: Eukaryota; Viridiplantae; Streptophyta; Magnoliopsida; Brassicales; Brassicaceae
Description: long non-coding RNA (BNAP_LNC003487)
Source: RNAcentral